This 843-nucleotide long non-coding RNA is filed under the name Brassica rapa (field mustard). RNAcentral's name for it is "long non-coding RNA (BRAP_LNC007795)". Lineage: Eukaryota; Viridiplantae; Streptophyta; Magnoliopsida; Brassicales; Brassicaceae. The record is from RNAcentral.
AACAAAAAAACUAACAAAAAUUAAACUAUGAUAUCACUUGAAAGCUUUUUAGACAAUAUUAAUAAAAUAUUUUAGCGAUAAUUAGACAAAUUUGAUUUUUUUUGCCAGCCAAAAUUUUAUUAUUAAUUAUCAUCAAUUAUUUCAAGAUGUUUAAGAAAGGAUGGACAAAAAAAAUAGGAUGGACAUAAAUGAUAUAUGAACUAUGAAUAGUACUUUGUAAAGCUGACUUAGAUAACACAUCUGCACAUCCAUUUCCAGUCCUUUUUGAUGCCUAAAUUCAAUUACUUUAGAGUAGUUAUUCCACAAAGAGAUCGUAUGAGAUAUUGUUUUGAUAUUCAGAUUUGUUUCUUAACUUUUAAGAAGAUUGAUAACUGUAAAAUGUUUUAGAGCCCGAAAUUACCACGUCAUCUCAUUUAUUUUUUCGUAAAAAAUGAAAAACAAUGCAAAGGAAAGAAUCGAACCCGGGUUAUUAUGACAUUAAUAUAGGACAGUUACCACUAAGCCAUUGAAACUUUCUUGAACACAUAUACAAGAAUCACUAAGUAUGUAAUCACAAACUCUUAUGUACAAUUACAAUAAUAUGAAUUCAACUUUCAAGACUCCGAUACUUUGUUUUGUAAAAAAAAUAAGUAAGUGACUAAGCUAAUAUAUUUUUUGAAAGUGUGAGAACAUUGAAGAAUAUGAAAAAGCAUAGAUUUUUGUUUUCGUGACAAAGUUAAGAAUUUUGUAAAACUAAGUUUAACAUAUAAAUUUUCGUGACAAAUAUGAAAAAACAUAGAUUUUUGUACAAUUUUGACAAAACAACUCAAAACAUAGUUCUCUAAUGUCUUAAUAAAAUAUUAU